UUCACCCGCUCCCUACGCUCCUCUCUACCCUACUCCUCUCUCUCCCGCUCCUUCCCUCUCUCUUUUCUUUGACAAAUCCUAUAAAUGAAUGGCUAGUUAUUCUCUGAAGAAAAAAAAGUUUUCAGGGGUCAAAAAAAAAAUCCCUUGAAAAAUUAAAGUUUGGGGAACAGAUCUAAAAACCCCUGUUUAUUCUCUGAAAAAACAGGUUUUCCAGUGGCUAAAAUCCUUUUUUUUUUUUUUUUUUUUUUAAAAAGGGAGUUUGGAGAAACACAAAAAAAAUCUCUCAACUCUUGUCUAUCUACUUUAGUUAUUUAUAGGUUUUAAUUCUCAUUUUAUUAGGGGAGUAGUAGUGGAUCUAAGACCUCAAAGCCUCGUUCACUGCUCCCGUGGAAGGUAAUAAUCCGAAACCAUUAUUUUGCUUCUUCUCUUGUUAAUAACGUGUGUUUGUCUAGAAAAUCAUGUCAUAGAUCCGUUUUUUUUUUUUUUUGAAUGACAAGAUACUAUUAAAAUAAAGUCUGAGUAAGUUUGAAAUCCUUUAGGCUAUUUCAAUAUUAGUAAAAGAGAUUUUAAGGCUUGAAAUAUUUACACAUUAAUCUGAUGACUCUUGAAUGUGUUCCAUGUAUCAUGAUUUGAUGAAUGUUUCUUUUUAACUUGCGUGGGUGAGCAUUUUUUUUUUUUUUUAAAAAGAAUUUUUCUCUUUAUCAUGAUGAUUCUAGUAUUUACUAUACUUUGCUGUUGAAGGACACGUUUGUUCAUUGAUGAUUAUAUGAUGUCUAAGUUUGCUUCCUUUUAAGCUCAUAGUUAUAUUAGCACGUGUAGUUAGAAUGAAUUAAAGGGUCUACCUCGCAUUUGUUCUGGACGAUAGAUAUGCGCAUGUUAAAUAUUCAUGGUACUUUGAAAUAAUUGUUACUUGACAAUCUUGCUUACUAACAGAAUUAUUUAUUUUUAUCUAAUCUUUUUUCUUUCUCCUCUUUCAUUUGCAUGAACAUUUUGGAGCAAACAUGGAGUCUUAAUGCAAGACUCUUCCCGAGCAUGGACACGGAGUCACUCUUCCCGAACUAUCAUUUUCUCUUGUCUUAGCUAUGUAAAAGCCAAAAUAGUGGAAAUAGGUCCCCACCUCCUAUUAUUUUGUGAUGCUUAGGAAGAAUUAGUAUGGGUUAUAUGCUUUAAUAUUAUGUCACUCUUUACUCCUCAACGCCUAGGAUUCACGUCGAAUUAAUAGAGUAGUCUAAAUCGGUAAUGGAAUCCUAUAAACAUGCUUAACCAAGCUUUAAUCCACCAAAAAUUUCUUAUUUCAUAAGUCAAAAUUUAAAUUUAAAUCAAACCACAUUUUUACAAGUUUGACCAGAAAUCAUUUUAUUGCUUUUUUCUCAAUUUUGUUAAGUCAAGUCACCAUAUUUUUUCCCAUACGUGGCUAAAUAUUUUUAGCAGUUCUAACCUUCUAUAAAUUUGCUACAUUUUAUUUUCUUGGAUGGCACAAUUGGUAUUCUUAUGCUUAUAUAAUUUAAACUAAUAGAUGUCCUACUUUCCACUUUAAUGUUUUACUCAUGCAUUCAUAUUUUGUAAGGUUUCAAUAAAUAUACAUUAGUAUAGUAUUUUCAAAAUAUUCAUUUUUAGCCAUAUUUGAAUUAACCUAAGUUUGGACGGUAAACCAUAAUUAAUGGAUUCUAAAGGAUGCUUAAUCCCUUCCCUUUAGGAUAAUCUAGAACCCUUACCUAGAAUCACGCUAAUUGAGUAGACCAUUAACAGAGGUUUAGUUUAACUUUACCUUAGUUAAUAUUUAGGUGUCCUAAUUCACCAAUAAACUAAUUAGGUGGCGACUCCUUAAAUUAAACAAAAUAGGAAUCACCAAUAUGUUGUACUCCGAUUUAAUCCGUUUAAAAUGGGGUAUAACAGACAUGAGCAUGAAUUUUUUUUGUAUUUCUGUCCCAUCUUUUAACGAUUUCAUACCUGCCUUUUGCUUCUAGAACUUCUUUUCAAUAGCAUAAAAUCUUAUCAAUUCAGCCUGCACUUUCUGCAAUCUUUGUCUAUUCAAGUUGUUGGGAUGUUUUUCAAACUCCUGUUCAUGGAUUUGUACCACCUCCUCCAAAGUAGCAAUUUGUCUAAAUAUAUCUCCAUAAGUUUCCUUUCUCCAUAUGGAAAUUGCUUUACUCACCUUUUUUAACUUGUUAUGAAAGUUAAAAAAAAAAUAGAUCAGAACUGAAAUUUGAAGCCCAGUUAUUUUUGACCACUUCCUGGAAAGUCUCAUGCUCCACCCAGAAGUUCAGGAAACUGAAAGACUUCUUGAUUGGUCUACUAUCCUGCUUGGGACUUAUCAAUAAAGGAGAAUGAUUUGACCCUUGCUUGAUCAAAUGUUCUACUUCCAGAUUAGGGUAAGUGUUCAGCACAGCUUAAUUCCCUAAGCACCUGUCCAAUCUUUUGAAAAUACAGGCCUCAUCUGAUCUCCCAUUCCACCAAGUGAACAUACUCCCUGUGAAACCAAGAUCCACCAGUUGACUUACAUCAAUGCAUUGUCUGAAGUCUUCAGUCUCUGCAAAUUGAACAAGAAGCCCUCUAUAUUUCUCAUCAGCCUCUGUAAUCACAUUAAAAUCUCCACCUACCAGCCAUGGGAGAUGUAUAUGUGUAGCAAUAUCAUACAGGUCCUCCCAUAAUGCAAUUCUAGUACCUCUAUCUGUACUAGUAUAAACUACAGUUAUAAUAACUUCAUGUUCCCCAUCAAAAGAAGUGAGCUUGAAGGACAACAAUUGAUCAGUGUCCUUCAAAAUUUCCACUUGAAAUUCUUCUUCCACAAAAAUCCAUAUCUUCCCAUUUACAUUGUAAGCAGUAGUCUCCAUAGUAAGCCACAUUUUAUAUAUAUCAAUGUGUCUAAAAUGUUGAAAUGGCUCCAUAAGGGCUAUAACAUUGAAUUAUUUUUGUCUAUUAGUAACACCACUCUUUCAAAGGCCUGUUGAGUAGUUGCAGAUCGGAUAUUCCAAAUGAGAAAGCAAUUCAUUGAGAAGUGGAUUUGACAAGUGCUUUCCUUGUUUGUACACCUCCUGUUAUUUUAGGAGGUAAACUUUUGUCUCUUUGUCUGUGAUGCUGGUCUCCUUCCAUGCCUUUGUAGUAUUCUUUGGAGAUCUGUCUGCAUUACUAGUAUCUUCAAGCAUUUUUCUUUCUUCUUCCUCAUCAUCUCCAAUGUCAAUCUCAUGUUCUUCUUCAUUUUCAUUAAUUAUAUGUUGAUCUUGUUGCUGCAAUUUACUGCCUUCCUCUACUUCUGUAAUGCCUUUUGUUUCCCCUGUUAUGUUCAUCAUUAUUUCUUCCUUGUUGUUCAAAAUAUGAAUUUGAUUGUCUUUGCUCAUGGUUGUAUCGGUUUGCCCAUCUUGAGUAUCUGCUAUAGCUAAUAUCCCUGUGGUAACUGAUUCUGUAGGUAAUCUAGGUUGUAAUAAUUAAAGAUCUGUAUUGUGAUUAUCAUCAGGCGGUUUUUUCAGAGUGUUUUUUUUCCCCUGGACAGGAUUUUUCCUGACCUCCACAAGAAAUGGCUUCUGGCCUAUGUCGAGUGUUUUCUUGAUUAUGCCUUUUCAGAGACCAUUCCCCUUAUUGUUAUUUGUUGCCUUUUUCAGUAGACAACUUCUUAUUUUGUUUUGCUUCAUUACCUUGUGGUUUUGUCAUUAAAUUUUUCGGUUGGUCUUUGAUUGCACAUGCUUGUGUUUCAAUUGUUUCUGUCUUGUGUUGGUUAUCGUUGUUGUUGUUAUCUUUGUUGUGAAUCUCUGUCCUCUUCCCUUUCUCCCAUUCUUUGUUGCUUUCUAUAUCCUUGCUGGUAGCACUUUUCUUGCCAAAAGAUGCCUCAACCCAAGGCUUGGAAGUUUCUUUUUGAUCUUUAGUGUUAGUUGUAUGCUGCUUCUCUAAUUUCUCUUGCAUCUCCUGUGUUAGAUCUACCAAAGUAUCAAACUUGUUUGUUGUUACUGUAUUCUUGGAAGUAUGUUAUCCUUCUGAUUGUGUUGCCUCCUUUACAUUUUUCUUAUUUUUCUUAUUUUGCACAACAUUCCAAUUCUAAUAUACCAGUUUUCCAUUUUUAUACACCCCAUGUUGCUGUAAGUCAUCAACUGGUUGUUUUCCAAUUGAUUUAUUGAUUUCCUCCUUGGGUUUCCUUUUUGUAAUAUCCUGUCGUCCUCCUUUUUGCUCUUCUCUUUUUGGCCUGUGUUCCGGAUACAAAAUCCAGCAGCCAUGUAUGUCAUGGCCUUGCAAUUUGCAGUGUGUACAAUAUUUAGGCAAAUAAUCAUAUUGAAUUUUUUGCCAUUUUGAUCUCAAUUCUCCUGUCUCCUCAUCCAAGCAAUUGAUUUGAAUUCUUUUUGGUUACUUUUUCAACAAAUCGACUUCCACUUUAAUCCUAGCACAACUAGGUCUCGUUUGAUUGUUUGUGGCCUUGUCAAUCAUUAGUGGUGUACCAACUGCAGUUGCCAAAGAAAACAUUGAUUCUUUGUCAAAAAUAUUUGUUGGUAGUCCAGGAAAAGAUAUCCAGGCAAUGGCUAUGGUUGUCUCUUUCUCCGGAUUGAACCAUGGAUCCCAUUUUAGAAAUCUGAGGGGAAAAUAUCUAUUUCUGACCCUUAAUUCCCAAGCUUUUGACAUUAAUGUUGCAUAAUCCUCUAACGGUGACAAUCAAAUCAAAAUGUGGCGUUCCUCCAAAAAUCCAAUAUUGCACUUUCCUUUGAUUUCCAGUGGGAUUGGCAAUAUUUUCCUCAAUUCCGCCAGAUCUGGCCUUCCAUAGGAAAAUUUUGCUACAACAGCAAAUUGUAAAUUUUGUCGCCUUAUUAACUCUUCGAACUCGUUCUUCAUCCAUGUCAUAGUUGGUUCACCAUGCAACAAAGUAAUAAUUUUUUGUUCAAAAGGUUCAGGGGUUUGUUGUUCUAAAGCAUUAUGUAACGCAAUAGCAUAGUUCAUAGGUUUAGGGUUGGUGUUAUUUUGUGAUUGGAGUAUUUGUAGUAGGGGUCCCGGGGGUGGCCGCCGGCCGGCGCCGCCAUUCCUGGUAGAAUAGUUCAACAAUGAUCUAGGGUAGUGUAGGUUUUGCGUUAAAGUGUAAUUAUUUAUCAGCAAGUGGGAACUAUCAAAACGCGAGGCAAUUGUUGGAUUUUUGGAAGCAUGUAAAUGCAGCAUUAUCUUCUCUUUUUUUUUUUUUUUUUUUUGUGAAUUACCAUUUUUUUAAAAAUUUAAAAUAAGAAAUUUAUGGUGAUGACUUGUCAUCCUAAUAUUGUUUUAUCUUUUUGUCUUUUCUUUUGAUUUUUGUUGUCUUUUUUAAUUUAUUUUAUUUAUUAAAUAUGAAUUUUCUGGUGAUGACACUUGUAAUCACAUCAUGCGUUUGCUUUUCCUAUUCUAUAUAGAUAGAUAGAUUAAGAGCGGUUUUGUAGUCUUAAAAGAUAUAUAUUGUGUGUCAAAAUAUUUUUUUUAAUUUGUGAUUUUAAAUAUGUUAUGUAGGGUAUUGAAUUAAAGAGUUGUCAAAUUAGUUUUUUUAUUUUUUUUUUAAUUUUUUAUAAAGCAGCCUAAAAAUGAAAGUAAGAUAAAUAAAUUGAAACAAAUGGAGAUAGAAAAUAUUAAUUUUGUGUAAAUUUAAUUGUAUUAAUUUAUUUAUUUAUUAAUUCAAAUUAUUUUGACUUAUUUAGAUAAUUUAUUUAAGGCGGAAUAGUUUUGGGAGACCCUCUACUUGUCCAUUUUUGUCAUCUUAGUUUGCCAAUUAAACCCGUCUACUUUUUAAAACUGAGUAUUGUAAACACCUCUGACCGUUAACCGAUCCUAUUUGGCAACUUGAUGGUUGAAUUGGAACAAUACAUGAAUUUCAUGCAUAUAAAGAGCGUGAACAUAAAAAUUUAAAUAAAAAAAUGAUAAAAAUGAAAAAAAAAAAUAGAAAGACAAAAAAAAAAAUAUAUGAAAACUCUUUCUUCUUCCCCCACGGGCCCCACUCCACCCUUUAUUGUUCUUCCUCAUCCCCUCCCUUAUUUCUUUUUCCCUUUCUCUCCCCUCCCCAUUUUCACCACCUUCAUAGCUUCAAUCAAUAUUUGAGAAAAAUAAUUUUCAUCUCCCUUUGUCUUCCUCGUACUUUCUUUAUACACCAACCCAAAAUACAAAGAAACAAAUCAACAAUUUUCAGGUGAGUUUUUCGUUCUUUACUUUCUUCUGCAUUUCAUUGUUAUUUAAGCUUCGUAAAUUUCUAGGUUUCGUCUAUAUUUAGCUUGUUUCUCUAUUUUUUAAUAGAUUGAGUAAUUUUCAAAGUUCUUGAAGAUCUUUUCCUUGAAUCCAAGAACAAGGAAAAAUGUUGAGCUUAAAAUUGCAUUCGGCUCUGGCAAAUUGUUGAGCUUUUACGUAAUGAAAUAGGUUGAUGGUGACAUGAUUUUGGUGGUGGAUGGAAGAGGGAGAUGGGAGGGUAGAGAGAGAAGAGAAAGGUUUGGGGGGUGGAUCUGAUGUGUCCUUCAUGUCAAGGCGAGUGAGCUACACACAGUGUCAGAGGGGUUGAAAAUACUUGUUUUGAUAGAGUUGAGGGGUUUAGUUGACAAACCCGUAAAUACGAACACCUGCAUGACAAAAAUGGACAAGUAUAGGGGCCUCCCAAGCUAUUCCACUUUUAUUUAAAGUUGAGCUGAUGAAGGUUGCGUAUGACAUGAAUAAUGCAUCGAAUGAAAUUCUUCUCUUCCAAAAAGUAUUUGAAAAUGAGAAAAGAACAAAAUUUACAAGCGGGAUGAGGCAAAAGCAAUGGCUACAACGACAAAGAGGAUUAUUAGCUACAGACGCUUAUUUCGGUUGGAUAUUUACGCUUAACGGUUUGACUUAUCGAUUUUUAAAUGUAUAUCAAUUUGUUAACCUAACCAAUAAAAUAUCAGUUCGUUCAGUUUGAAUUUAACAGUUACGAUCGGUUAACCAAUAAAGUCAAAUUAAAAAAAAAAGCAAAAUCCAAAAGAUUCGUCGCUAAAUCUGGUAAAGUGAAGCAUGAAAUUCAAGAACUUUCUCAUCACUUUCUAAUAUAACUGAAGUAUGAUAUUCAAACACUUUCUAAUCACUUAUCACUAGCAAAACCAAAACACAUAAACAAAAGAAAACUGAAGCAGAAAAGUCAAAACAAAUGAAAAAAGAAAGAAAAAAUGCAUACCCCUCUAUUUUGGGGAAAAAAGGGCUAAAAACAUUCUCCAUUACAAAUUUGGAUAAAAAAUAUCCCUCCCGUCAUUAAAGUUUUCUAAUAUAAUUCCGUUUUAACGGAAAUUCUCAAAAUAACCCGAUUUCAUUUUUAUACCCGCUCCUGUGCCUAGUGGCUCCAAAUGUAGGGCUCGGGAAGAAGUUGCUCGCAUAUGAGUUUUUUAUGUAGUUGGGUCGGGUUUAAAAUGAAAUCCGGUUAGUUUGGGAAAUUUGGGGAUUUCUGUUAAGAUAGGGGUAUUUUUGAAAGCUUUAAUGACAGGAGGGGUAUUUAUGACCCAAAUUUAUAACAGAGAAUACAUUUAGCCCUUUUCUCAAAGUAGAAGGACAUUUUUUAUGUUUUUACCUAGAAACAUUUGAAUUUCAAGCGCGACUAUGAGCCCGUUUGGAUGGGCUUAAAAAAAGUGACUUUUAUGUAUGAAGUGCUUUUAGAACUUUUAAGUGCUGAAAGUUAUUUUUAUAAAUAAGCAGUUGAGUGUUUGGAUAAAAGUACUUAUGCUGAAAAUAAGUUGUUGAUGUGUUUGGUAAAUAAGUGCUGUUAAGCACUUAUUUUAUGUCAAAA
Long non-coding RNA from Lycium barbarum (goji berry), 7714 nucleotides. RefSeq lists it as uncharacterized. The record is from RefSeq and is a predicted model, not a curated record. Lineage: Eukaryota; Viridiplantae; Streptophyta; Magnoliopsida; Solanales; Solanaceae. The transcript is spliced from 2 exons.